Non-coding RNA from Notechis scutatus (mainland tiger snake), 152 nucleotides. NCBI's taxonomy places the organism in Eukaryota, Metazoa, Chordata, Lepidosauria, Squamata, Elapidae. The record is from RefSeq and is a predicted model, not a curated record.
GUGUGUGCCUCUCCAUUCUUUCUCCAGACUCUGGGUCCUUGGUUUCCAAAUGAGAUGCAAAAGUUGCUCUCAUCAGAAAAGAGGACUUUGGACUACUGUGCAACAGACUAGUUCUGUUUUACUUUAGCCAGGAAUCAUCAUUUCUGGAAAAC